GCCCACAGCAAUAAUGGAAAAAUGCUUUUAUUCUUUUGAUUUAAUAUACGAUAUACACACGUCAGAGUGUGAAAGAGCAUGAUUCGACAUCUCAAAACGCAGACACCACAUCCUGUGAAUUCAAGUUGGUACUUCCUAGAACACAGCUAUCUGUCGAUGAUGAGAGAAGGAGGUUCAUCUUGACUUGAAAAAUGAAAGACUUAGCACUGAUAUUAGUAUGUGGCAUCCUUCUUGUUGCUGGAAAUAUGUCCAUUGAUUUGUUAUAUGAGGAGGAUUAUAGUGAUGAUGGUGAUGAUGAGGAUUAUGACAGUUCCGGCUUCGAAAUCAGUCACAUUGAAGACAAACCAAACUCCCCCUCUCCCUUAUUCCCUCCUCAAGCCAGUGGGACUACUGGCCGAACCGCAGAGAAAACUGGAGGCUUGCUCACCCUCUUCUUUGUCUUUUGGAACAACUGGUGUUAGCUACAGGAACUCUAAAGCACAGGGUGUGUGACACUGCCUCUUAAUCCUGCCUCAAUAAACAUAAAGUGUGUUAAACAAAUAGGUUAAACACAGACAACAUUGUCUCUUUGAAGAAUGUAGAAGUUGUACGGGAGAUGUUUCAUGUUAGACCACUGCACUGCAACAGAUAUAGUAACACUUUCACAAGGUGAGGCUGUGAAACGAAACCCAAAAGUCAACUGAGACCAAAAGGAACUCUGGAACUCCUUUCAGCAAGAACUUUUCUAGAACACAUCACACCUGGACAGAAUUUACAAAAUGGACACUUAGAUCAGAAAAGGGUUCCAAUCAUAUGUAUGUCAAUGAGGCCCUAACCCAGUCACAGUUCACAUAUCCUGUGUAUGUGUGACUUAGUUGUGUGUAUUCUUGGUCUUGGGAAAUCCUUGGUGUUAAGUUUCACGUCUGAUAGCUGGGCAAUCUAGCCCAAAACAUUAUAAAAUGUCACAAUAAAUGUCACAAUGUUUAUCACGCUAAAAAUCAGUCCAUAUUGAUCAUAAUAGAUCAUUAACCUGUGAUUAUU
Molecule: long non-coding RNA, 1020 nt
Organism: Clupea harengus (Atlantic herring)
Lineage: Eukaryota; Metazoa; Chordata; Actinopteri; Clupeiformes; Clupeidae
Source: Ensembl